AUUGAACGCUGGCGGCAUGCCUUACACAUGCAAGUCGAACGGCAGCACGGGAGCAAUCCUGGUGGCGAGUGGCGAACGGGUGAGUAAUAUAUCGGAACGUGCCCAGUCGUGGGGAUAACGUAGCGAAAGCUACGCUAAUACCGCAUACGAUCUAUGGAUGAAAGCGGGGGAUCGCAAGACCUCGCGCGAUUGGAGCGGCCGAUAUCAGAUUAGGUAGUUGGUGAGGUAAAGGCUCACCAAGCCGACGAUCUGUAGCUGGUCUGAGAGGACGACCAGCCACACUGGGACUGAGACACGGCCCAGACUCCUACGGGAGGCAGCAGUGGGGAAUUUUGGACAAUGGGCGCAAGCCUGAUCCAGCAAUGCCGCGUGCAGGAUGAAGGCCUUCGGGUUGUAAACUGCUUUGUACGGAACGAAACGGUGAGCUCUAAUACAGUUUGCUAAUGACGGUACCGUAAGAAUAAGCACCGGCUAACUACGUG
This 482-nucleotide ribosomal RNA is filed under the name uncultured bacterium. RNAcentral's name for it is "bacterial SSU rRNA". It matches the Rfam family "Bacterial small subunit ribosomal RNA", at positions 30 to 507 of the family's 1533-position model. The record is from RNAcentral.